CCCCAUAUAGCAGUCAAAUCUCGUAUCUCCCGUACAGUUUCCAUGGUUGGAGCUCUUUUUGGAUUUGGGACUGCAUGGCCACCCGUGUUGAUCAGAGCUCCACUCUGGGCAAACAGGAA
This is a non-coding RNA of Chelonoidis abingdonii (Abingdon island giant tortoise), 119 nucleotides long. Lineage: Eukaryota; Metazoa; Chordata; Testudines; Testudinidae. The record is from RefSeq and is a predicted model, not a curated record.